Molecule: ribosomal RNA, 1406 nt
Filed under: uncultured bacterium
Lineage: Bacteria
Description: 16S ribosomal RNA
Rfam family: Bacterial small subunit ribosomal RNA
Source: RNAcentral
AGAGUUUGAUCCUGGCUCAGGAUGAACGCUGGCGGCGUGCCUAACACAUGCAAGUCGAGGGGCAUCGGGGCGAGGAGCAAUCCUUGCCGCCGGCGACCGGCGCACGGGUGAGUAACGCGUAUGCGACCUGCCCGUUGCAGGGGGAUAAUCGGGAGAAAUCCCGUCUAAUACCGCGUAAUGCCGCGGGGCUGCAUGGCCCUGCGGCCAAAGGGAGCGAUUCCGGCAACGGAUGGGCAUGCGUGACAUUAGCUAGUUGGCGGGGCAACGGCCCACCAAAGCGACGAUGUCUAGGGGUUCUGAGAGGAAGGUCCCCCACACUGGUACUGAGACACGGACCAGACUCCUACGGGAGGCAGCAGUGAGGAAUAUUGGUCAAUGGGCGCGAGCCUGAACCAGCCAAGUCGCGUGAGGGAUGACGGCCCUACGGGUUGUAAACCUCUUUUGUCGGGGAGCAAAUUCCGCCACGUGUGGCGGAGUCGAGAGUACCCGAAGAAAAAGCAUCGGCUAACUCCGUGCCAGCAGCCGCGGUAAUACGGAGGAUGCGAGCGUUAUCCGGAUUUAUUGGGUUUAAAGGGUGCGUAGGCGGACUGUCAAGUCAGCGGUAAAAUACGGGGGCUCAACCUCCGCCCGCCGUUGAAACUGACGGUCUUGAGUGGGCGAGAAGUAUGCGGAAUGCGUGGUGUAGAGGUGAAAUGCAUAGAUAUCACGCAGAACUCCGAUUGCGAAGGCAGCAUACCGGCGCCCAACUGACGCUGAAGCACGAAAGCGUGGGUAUCGAACAGGAUUAGAUACCCUGGUAGUCCACGCAGUAAACGAUGAAUACUAGCUGUCCGGGGCGAAUGAGCCCUGGGUGGCACAGCGAAAGCGUUAAGUAUUCCACCUGGGGAGUACGCCGGCAACGGUGAAACUCAAAGGAAUUGACGGGGGCCCGCACAAGCGGAGGAACAUGUGGUUUAAUUCGAUGAUACGCGAGGAACCUUACCCGGGCUCAAACGACACAGGAACGUACCUGAAAGGGUUCGGCUCUACGGAGCCUGUGUCGAGGUGCUGCAUGGUUGUCGUCAGCUCGUGCCGUGAGGUGUCGGCUUAAGUGCCAUAACGAGCGCAACCCCCAUCGACAGUUGCUAACAGGUCAGGCUGAGGACUCUGUCGAGACUGCCGGCGCAAGCUGCGAGGAAGGCGGGGAUGACGUCAAAUCAGCACGGCCCUUACGUCCGGGGCGACACACGUGUUACAAUGGCAGGUACAGCGGGAAGCCACCUGGCGACAGGGAGCGGAACCCGAAAGCCUGUCUCAGUUCGGAUUGGAGUCUGCAACCCGACUCCAUGAAGCUGGAUUCGCUAGUAAUCGCGCAUCAGCCACGGCGCGGUGAAUACGUUCCCGGGCCUUGUACACACCGCCCGUCA